This is a non-coding RNA of Camellia sinensis, 149 nucleotides long. The record is from RefSeq and is a predicted model, not a curated record. NCBI's taxonomy places the organism in Eukaryota, Viridiplantae, Streptophyta, Magnoliopsida, Ericales, Theaceae.
CCUUUGGGGAUAUCUGGUGAGCUCCUCCACUUGGAUUUGCAAACGGCACAGUUGUAACCAGCCGUUCGAAGGCAGUCAGAAAUUUUUCUUUGCAGGCAAUUCCGACAACCAUCGGCCACUGGUCUUGGACAAGCACAAUCAUUACCUAG